Molecule: long non-coding RNA, 38407 nt
Filed under: Vitis vinifera (wine grape)
Lineage: Eukaryota; Viridiplantae; Streptophyta; Magnoliopsida; Vitales; Vitaceae
Description: long non-coding RNA (VVIN_LNC006948)
Source: RNAcentral
ACAAAGAAAAGUGUCUCUUGGAGUUUAGAUCACUGGGCUCAGAUUCCUUGUACAAAAAGGGAGUUCCGAUCACUUGUUUAUUUUCCUCGCGUUAGGGAUUUAACAUAUAGUUAUUUCCCGAACCGGUUUUGUACAGAUGCUUCCCAUUAAUGGGUUCAAACACUAAAUCCCUCUCACUGAUGCACCUAGCAAUGGCUCAUGCCUCUCACCUAGCACUUGCCAUUCAAGGUGAUCUUUAACCUUGGAUUAACCGUCAAAAGCUCACAAGAGAUAACUAAUGGAUGUCUCUGUAGAGUCCAAAAGCUUACCAAGUGUUGCUAUUCUAGAAAAUCCUACCUUCAAACCACCUCCCAAAGGCUCGCAAGAGAUAAACUAGUGCAUCUCUAUGGAUGGAGAUCACUUGCCUUACCAAGUGUUGGCCCAGGUGAUUUAAAGGCGUUUUAAGUUAACUAAAAAGAUAAAAACCAUUAACGGGUCACACUUUCUCUUCAUUAAAAACUAAAACAACAAAACUUCCAAUUUAUGCAUUUGGAAACUUACCCAGCUUUCUUUACUCUAAGAGACGAAGAGCCUAGCCUCUCAUCCUCUGAGGAAAAAUCCUUAGAGUUUGAUUGGCUAGAAAGAAAAAUAACGAGAGAACAAAAAUAUAUAUGAAAAGCAGAGCAAGUGCUCUGUAUUUUACUUCAUUCCCAAAAUUGUACAAAAGGUUCUCUCUUCCUCGGGAACAGGCUCCCGAGAGAUAUUUAUAAGGAAAAUUAAAAAAUAAUAUAUAUAAGGUUAUUUAUCCUUUUUCCAAACUUAAUAACUAAGGAAUCCUAUAAUUGGUGGGUUACAAGGAGAUUUUGGGGAUUUAGACAUCAAAUAUCUAAAGCAAAAUAUCUAAAGAUAAAUAUCUAAAGGAAAAUAUAUAAAGAUGUCGGUCGCAAAUAUCGAGAAGCUUCAGGAGAACACUGCGGCACUGUGUAAAAUUGGCUGCGAAACUCUCUGGGUGAGCGCUAUUAUAGGAUCCGGAUAUGUAUAUUCAGAGAAGUUGAAACGCCCUCCUCUCCCAUCCGACUCCUGAAUUCCGGAUGUGAUACAUCCGGGUGGAAUGGCGGUGGCAGCAGAAUUCCGGAUGUGAUACAUCCGGGUGGAAAGUGGCGGCAGUUGGAUGGAAUGGCAGCGGCAGCCGAAUGGAAAAGUGGCGGGCAGCCGGAUGUAAUGGCGGCAGAAGUCGGAUGGAAUGGCGGCGGCAACCGGAUGGAAUUCCUACCUGGGUGGAAUGAGCUAUGAUUCCCGUCCGGGUGGAAUGAGCAGGAUCCCAUACUCCUUGUAUUCUGGAUUUGCUUAUGGCAAAGGACUUCAAAGCUUCGGCUCUUCAUGUUUCUGAGGUUUCCAUUGCUUUGCCAUGGAUUCCAAAUAACUCUCCUCAAUAUCAAAUUACUUUGGUGAUCAAAAAGCUAUCAAAACACCAAAACUUAACACAAUUUUAUUAGAAUUGAUUGCAAGAGUCCUUAAUAUGUUAAUUGGGUUAAAAGGUGAUAACUACUACUCAAAAAUGUUUAAAAGAGUUAAUUACAAGCUAUGAAGUAGCACUUUUUGAGUAGUAAUCACUGCACAUGCCACCCAUUUGCACCAGCCAUCAUCUUUUAGCCAACUGCAGGUCAAUGACGGCUUGACUUGGUCACUGGUUGUCUAAGCUAGCUGCCACUUGCUAGCUGCACUGCCUUCUCCUUUAGGUCUUGCUCGCCAAGCUGCUGGUGAGUCCCCCUAACAAGCCGACCCCUCCCCCUCAAGGCGCCUCUUGUGACCGGGUGCCCAUCAGCAUGUCUUUGAUCAAGGCUCUCCGAACUAGGCAGCGUGCACUACCCAUCUGACUUAGCGUCUGGUGCAUCAGUGUGCCUUCCUCACACUGAUGUCUGAGCCCGUGCCAUGUCUAGGUGCCCAUGGCUUGGGCUUGCUUCCCAACUUCCCAACAACGAGCCAUGGCAUUGCGCCCAUGGCUAAUCCUUCUUGGUGCACAGGGCAUUGCGCUCCUGUGCUGUGCGUAGGCAUCUCGGUGCGAGUAAGCUAUUGGAGCCAUCAGACCAUGGCAUUGCGCCCAUGGUUUCAUCAGCUGGCUCAUCGCACAAGGCUUAGGCGCCCUCGUGCCUGCGCGGGGAGGGGGUAGGCCGCACCAGGCCCCAUGCCGUUGCGGCCACGGGGUGCAUAACACACAUGUCGUGGAGCCCAUGUGUGCGUGCUCGAGUCGCGUCGUGUGUCUUUGGCACGCCAAGGCCGUGCCAUGGUGCCNNNNNNNNNNNNNNNNNNNNNNNNNNNNNNNNNNNNNNNNNNNNNNNNNNNNNNNNNNNNNNNNNNNNNNNNNNNNNNNNNNNNNNNNNNNNNNNNNNNNCCCCCCCUUAAAGAGCAAUACAGACCGUUUUCAUUGUUUCUUGAGGAGACAUCAAUAUGUCUGAGGAUUCAUAAUGGAAUAUAAUUUUAAUUAUAAAUUAAAAUUCCAAGUCAGCCUUCAUCUGCACCACCUAAGUCAGGUGCGCGCGCGAUGCCCAUCUGGUGCGCACGCGGUGCAUGUCUGGCUCGCCCGCGGUGCGUGCGCGGUGCGCGUCUAGCCUGCUCACGGUGCACAUCUGGCUCGCUCGUGUGCGCGCGUGGUGCGCGUCUGGCCUGCUCGCGAUGCGCGUUUGGCUCGCCCGUGGUGCGCGUGUGGUGUGCGUUUAGCUCGCCCACGGUGCGCAUCUGGCUCGCCCUUGGUGCGCGUUUGGCUCGCCCACGGCCUCCUCACAUGGCUCCUGGAGUUUGAGCCACCAAACCUCCAAGAUUUCUCUGCUUUCAUCCUAGGCUUUCAUGGGUGCAAGGCCUACCCAUGAGGCCUAUUCCUCCAUGGUUAAGUCAAGGGUCUAAGGGGCUGACAAACCUACCCCCGCCUGCUGAAGUCGACGCCCUCGUUGACUUAGUCUGCCAGUAUGUCUAGACCGCCGUCUCAAAUUGCCACAAGGUAACAUCCCUCUCCCAAGUAGCUUCUGCUUCUGAAGUCCUCUUCCACUGAACCAAGAAAUCAGUUCGCCGGUUCUUUCGACUAUGUCUCAUGGUCCUAUGAUCCAAGAUUUUCUCUAUCUCUCGAUCAAACUGCUUCAUGACCAAGGGAGGGGCUCGCUUUGUUUGCACCAUCUCUGCAUCUAGAUCCUCAUGGUAAGGCUUUAGAAAGCUCACAUGGAAAGUCGGGUGAAGCUUGAGCCUUUCAGGCAGCUUCAACAUGUAGGCCACCUGCCCAACUCGUUUGAUUACCUCGAAUGGUCCGUCAUACUUAGGAAUUAGACCCCUCUGCCUUGUCUUGCUGCUGAUUUUCUUUCAGAUCUGAGGAGUCAAUUUUAGGAGGACCCUGUCCCCAACCUGAAAUUCCAAGAGUCUGCGGUCACGAUCUGCAUACUUCUUCAUACGUCUAGCUGCCUUCUCUAGACUGUCUCGGGCUUCAUCGAACAUCUCCUGCCGGGACUGAGCCAACUUGUAUGCUGCUGGAUUACUUCCUCCAGCUUUCUACUUAGCCACCUCCAAAGGCAUCUAUGGCUGCACCCCAAUAGCUAGCUUAAAGGGACUCAUCCCUGGUGCUGAGCUUCUCUGCAAGUUGUAGCACAACUGAGCAGUAUCCAUUAAGUCCACCCAGUUCUUUUGUGUUGCUAUCACAUAGUGCCUGAGGUAUUCCUCCAGCAAGGCAUUGAUCCUCUCCGUCUGCCCAUCAGUCUGAGGAUGGUUGGCUGUAGAGAAUUUCAACUCUGAACCCAAGAGUCUGAACAACUCAACCCAAAACCGGCCUGUGAAUCAUGCGUCUCGAUCACUAACUAUGUUCUUAGGCAACCCAAAAUGUUUCACCACAUUACUGAAAAACAACUUAGCGGCUUCCUCCACAGGGCAAGCAUGAGGGGCAGGUAUAAACACAACAUACUUAGAAAAUCUAUCUACCACAACAAAGACAGAUUUGAAAUCACGAACCUUUGGGAAUCCAGUGAUAAAAUCCAUGGAAAUGUUCUCCCAAGGUCUUUCUAGAAUGGGGAGGGGCUGUAGCAACCCUGCAGCCUUCUUCCUUUCAGUCUUGUCCAUCUGACAGAUCAAGCAAGACUUCACAUAUGCCUGGACAUCCUCACCCAUCUUAGGUCAAUAGUAAGAUCUGGCUAGCAGCGCCAGAGUCUUUUCUUCUCCGGGAUGACCUGCCUACUUCGAAUCAUGAGUUUCCCGCAACAAAUCCUUUCUCAGGCCGCCUGCAGGAACAUACCAUCUUCCUCCCUUUGCCACAAGGAGGUCACCCUCUAGCCAAUACCUCUUAAUCACCCCCUCCUUUACUUGCUGUUUCAGCCUGCCAUAUGCGGCAUCCUGCUCUACAACUAGCUUGAUCUUCUCAUUGAAGUCAGAGACGACUUCUGAGAGGACCGUGAUAUAGGCAAUUACCUCUUUCCUACUCAAGGCAUCAGCCACAGGGUUAUGCCUUCCUGGUCGAUGUAGCCACUCAAAUUUGAAGUCGGCCAGGAGCUCCUGCCAUCGCGCCUGUCUGGGACUCAGCUUCUUCUGGGCCUUAAAGAAGGUGUUGGCCACAUUAUCAGUGACCACUAUGAAGAUACUUCCUAACAAGUAAUGCCUCCACUGCUGCAGGCAAUGCACCACAACCGUCAUUUCCUUCUCGUGAGUGGAGUAUCUCUGCUCUGUAUUAUUUAGCUUCCUACUUUCAAACGCCAUAGGGUGUCUUUCUUGCACCAAGACUCCACCCAAGGCUCUAUUAGAGGCAUCUGUUUGGACUUCAAAGGGUAAGUCUAGGUCUGGCAACCACAGCACAGGCUCAGUGGAGAUGGCUUUCUUCAAGCCUUCAAAGGCCAUCUGACACUACAUGUUCCAAUCCCAUGAGUUGUCCUUCUUCAAUAGGUUAGUAAGGGGAGGCACUCUUGGAAUACCCCUUAAUGAACUUUCUGUAGUAGUUGGCCAAGCUAAGGAAGGACCGCAACUUCGUCACUUUGGUAGGGACUGUCCACUCCAUAAUAGCCUGCACUUUGCCCUUGUCCAUCCUGAUCAGGCUUGCACUAAUCUUGUGCCCAAGAAACGUGAUUUCCUCUUGAGCAAACUCGCACUUUUCUAGCUUUACAUAAAGCCUGUUCUCCCUCAAUCUCUGAAACACCAAUCUCAAAUGUCUCUCAUGUUCUGUUAGAGUUUUACUAUAAACUACAAUGUCAUCUAGAUAUACCACCACAAAGACAUCCAAAUAAUCAAACAGAACAUCAUUCAUCAAAUUACAGAAUGUAGCAGGAGCAUUUGUCAAGCCAAAAGACAUUACCAGAAACUCGUAUGAUCCAUACCGAGUUACACAAGUGGUAUUCCCUUCAUCUCCUACUGCAAUUCGAACCUGCCAGUAGCCCGAUCUCAGGUCCAGCUUGGUGAAGUAAGAAGCUUUUGACAGUCUGUCAAACAGCUCAACAGCCAAGGGGAUCGGGUACUUGUUCUUGAUGGUCACCUUGUUGAGGGCUCUGUAGUCCACACACAUGCGGAGUGAGCCAUCCUGCUUCUUUUGGAACAGCACUGGUGCACCAUAUGGUGCCCUGGAGGGUUGGAUCAGACCUGCAUCCAGUAACUCCUUUAGCUGCUUACGUAACUCCAACAACUCUGCAGGAGGCAUCCGGUAAGGGGCUUGAGCCGGGGCCUUUGUUCCAGGUAGCAGCUCGAUUUGUGGUCAAUGGGUCGCCGGGGUGGCAACUCCUUGGGGAGUUCUGCAAGCAUCACAUCUUUGAACUCUUUAAGGAUCUUGACCACUGAGUCAGGGGCUUCCACAGACUGUCCCUCCUUGAUCUCGAUCAAGGCUGCAACAUAGGUCUCCUGGCCCUUCUUCAAUCCUUUAUUCAAUUGAAUAGCAGACAACAUCUCAGGUUGUCCCUUACCACCAUCUUUCGUCCUCAAGGCCUUCACGAAGCAAGGUUGCUUCUCUUCUAGCACCACCAGUCCACCAAGAUGUGGAAUCAAGGCCACCUUGGCCCUUAAGAGAAAGUCUACACCAAGGAUCAAGUCAAAAUCAUCCAAAGGCACACAAAGUAAACUACACGUACCCUUCCAGUCACCGAUCUGCAUAGGGACGUUCUUGGCUACCCUUUGGAUCUUUUGGGCUUUGCUGUUGACUGCCUUGAUCCGACUGGUGUCCUCCUCCAAUUUAAGUCCCAACCUGGUUGCUUCUCUGGUGGCCACGAAAUUGUGAGUGGCACCACUGUCCACUAAGGCCUUCACUUGCACACCAUUCACCACUGCAUGGACGUGCAUCAGAGACUUCUGGACUGGGGUCUCACCAUUGAUCACGUUUAGAAGUUGCAGUGGGUUGACUCUUGGAAUGGUCUCCGAGUCAGAGUCUCCCUUGUCAUUUGCAGACACCAGGGUUGAGAGUUUCUCUCUUUUAGGGCAGUCUCUAGCUCGAUGAGGGCCAUUGCAGAUGAAACAUCUUGCCAUCCGAGUGGUCUGCUGCACAAACUUAGUGGUCUUCUCCACUGGAUUUCCUCCUACAGUAGACUUCUUGCCUUGUUUCUUCCACCCAGGCUUCUUAGAAGCCUUGCCCUCAGCCUUUGCCUUCUUACCCCCGUAUGACUUGGGUCUCUGCGUGGUAGAGAUGGCACCACCCAUCUUGUAGUCCACCAAGCAGUCUGCUGCAGCCAUGGCAGCGGGGAGAUCACGAACUCUUUGCCUCCGAAGUUCCGUCUGAGCCCAUCCUUGCAAACCUGACAUGAAGUUAAAGAGUUUGUCCUCCUCUGACAUGUUCUUUAUGUCCAACAUCAAGGAACUGAACUCCUUGACGUAUUCCCUCACGGAUCCGGUGUGUCUGAACCUUUUCAACGCUUCUCGGGCCACCCACGCAGUGUUGGUGGGAAGGAACUGAUCCUUCAAUUCCUUCUUCAUAGUCUCCCAAGUGGUGAUCUGGGGCCUUCCCGACUCUGCAUCGUCUUCCAUCCUGGUUCGCUACCAUAGCUUGGCAUCACUAGUCAGAUACAUGCUGGUGAUGGACACCUUCUCGCCAUCAGGUACAUGAGCAGCCUUGAAGAACUGCUCCAUGUCUCACAAGAAGUUCUCCAACUCUUUUGCGUUUCUGUUGCCAUUGAAGCCUUUAGGCUCCGGGACUCGAACCUUAGAAGAAGGGGCAUCAGGGCCUGACGAGGACCCCUGCAACACAGCCUUUUUAAGCACUGCAACGUCCUCUCCAUAGGAUCGCAGGGUGUCCUUAAAUUCGUCCAUCAGGGACUGCAUCUCGGCUUUGAACCCAACAAUAUUCUCCUCAAAGAAGUUGUCAUGGUUCUCCAGCAGACUCCUCUGCACUUGGAUCUCGCCCAUGGUGUGUUCAGCCCACGAGGCCACAGUGUCUUCCUCACCUGGCCAUUCUCCCAGCGCUUCUUCCAUCCGAGUCAUUCUUUCACGCAGGACGUCCAUUGCACUACCACCAGCCAUCUCUGGUGCGCACUCUGAUACCAAUUGUCACACCCCUGGUUAUCUCACUUAAUUUUUCACGAGUGUGCGGUGCUAAGGACCCUUCCUUAGCCAAUCUUCCAUUCCCAGCGUUUAGAAGAACAUAGUAGAAUACAGAAAUAAACAAGCAACAGGGACACACGAGGUUACGGGAAUCCUUUCCCAACUUGUAUUAAUCACUCUUACAAGACAAAAUUGCUUCUUGAACCAGAGUACAAUGCACUCACCCAAGGCAUACGAGAAGGAACCCUUUUCCCAAAUUCUCUCUCUAUUUCAAGGUUGCAGGAGCCCUAUUUAAAUGACUCAAUCUAUAGUUACAAAUUUGAAUUCCCUCAAUUCAAAUCUUGGAGCCAACUAGGUGGUCAUGCAACUGGCCAGAACUGCUCUCAACUGCCCUGCAUAACCACCCACUACCCAGAUAGUGGGCUACACAUGCCACCCACUUGCACCAGCCAUCAUCCUUCAGCCAACUGCAGGUCAAUGACGGCUUGACUUGGUCACUGGUUGUCUGAGCUAGCUGCCACUUGCUAGCUGCACUGCCUUCUCCUUCAGGUCUUGCUAGUCAAGCUGCUGGUGAGUCCCCCUAACAAGCUGACCCCUCCCCCUCAAGGCGUCUCUUGUGACCGGGUGCCUAUCAGCAUGUCUUUGAUCAAGGCCCUCCGAACCAAGCAGCGUGCACCACCCAUCUGACCAAGCGUCUGGUGCAUCAGUGUGCCUUUCUCACACUGAUGUCUGAGCCCGUGCCAUGUCUAUGUGCCCAUGGCUUGGGCUUGCUUCCCAGCUUCCCAACAACGAGCCAUGGCAUUGCGCCCAUGGCUAAUCCUUCUUGGUGCACAGGGCAUUGCGCCCUUGUGCUGUGCGUAGGCAUCUCGGUGCGAGUCAGCUAUUGGAGCCAUCAGACCAUGACAUUUUGCCCAUGGUUUCAUCAGCUGGCUCACCGCACAAGACUUAGGCGCCCUCGUUCCUGCACGGGGAGAGGGUAGGCCGCACCAGGCCCCGUGCCGUUGCGGCCACGGGGUGCACAACACACAUGUCGUGGAGCCCAUGUGUGCGUGCUCGAGUCGCGUCGUGUGUCUUUGGCACGCCAAGGCCAUGCCAUGGUGCCCUCUUGGUGCGAUCAAGGCUUCUCUUGGUGGCUCCCUCCUUUGAGUCACCUACCCCCCCUUAAAGAGCAAUACAGACCGUUUUCAUUGUUUCUUGAGGAGACAUCAAUAUGUUUGAGGAUGCAUAAUGGAAUAUAAUUUUAAUUAUAAAUUAAAAUUCCAAGUCAGCCUUCAUCUGCACCACCUAAGUCAGGUGCGCGCGCGAUGCCCAUCUGGUGCGCGCGCGAUGCCCAUCUGGUGCGCACGCGGUGCAUGUCUGGCUCGCCCGCUGUGCGCGUCUGGCUUGCUCGCGGUGCGCAUCUGGCUUGCCCAUGUGCGCGCGCGGUGCGCGUCUGGCUCGCCCUUGGUGCGCGUCUGGCUCGCCCUUGGUGCGCGUUUGGCUCGCCCGCAGUGCGCGUCUGGCUCACCCAUGGUGCGCUUCUGGCUCGCCCUUGGUGCGCGCACGGUGCGCGUCUGGCUCGCCCAUGACCUCCUCACAUGACUCCUAGAGUUUGAACCACCAAACCUCCAGGAUUUCCCUGCUUUCAUCCUAGGCUUUCAUGGGUGCAAGGCCUACCCAUGAGGCCUAUUCCUCCAUGGUUAAGUCAAGGGUCUAAGGGGCUGACAACUACCCUUAUACCUUAUUUUUUUCCAAUAAGUGUUUGAUUGUGAAAUGUUGAUAAAAACAAUGGAGGGUAUUUUUGUCCAAAAAAUGGAAUUUAUUGUUUUUAAAAAAUAGAAGUGAUUCUUAUGAAUAUGUAAUUGUUUUAUCCUUUUAAAUUAAAUAAUCUUAUAAAUUAAGGUUGCUAAGGUUGUUACAUACAUGGUAUUAAAGUUGAAAUAACAAUUUCCAUGUUAUUUAAUAAUACUAGUAGGUUACUAUUUUUGUCAUAAAGGGGAAAAAUAGCAAUUUCUCAUUAGGGAUUCCAUUUAUUCUCAUUUUUUCUUCUAAAUUUACGAGUUGUGACAAAAAUUAUUUAGAAUUUUGCCCUCGUCAUUAAGGUUGAACUAAAGUCAUCACAAAGAAUUAGGCAAGGAUUUUAGAGCUUCUAGGUUCGAGGUCAUUAGAAAAUGAGGCUAUUUUCAAUUAUUCAUUGACGCUACAUAUUGGUUGUCACUACCACUUUGGUUUAUGGUUUAUGUUGUUCAUUAUGUCUUUUAGAUAAUAAUAUUAGUUUUAGAUUUUGUUUGAAUUGGUUUUUAACAAACAAAAAAUUCUUCUUAAAACUCGAUUAAAGUCUCUAUUAAGAAAUUUUGUUACAAGUACUAACUUAUGAGUUUAAAAGUGCUUAAUAUGAAAGUGAAUGUUACUUCCCCUAAAAACUCGAUUUUGGCUUCUAUAGAAAUUCAUAUUUAAUGAAUUAUAUUAAUACUAAUAUGUGAAUAUUAGUCUUGACUAUAACUUUGUGUUGGGGUUUGAAAGUUGAAGGUUUAACCCAUAAGUAGUGGACCUUCUUUUUUAGCAGAAAGACUAGUUUUUAAGCUAUAAUUAAAAUCAUAAAAUGGGCAAUAACUAAUGUGAUACCUAGACUAACAUGAAAAGAUUCUUGUUUGGCAACAAUUUUCUAUUCUUCAGAAUAAAAAAAACUAAGAAAACAUGUUUGACAACCAAAAACCGCUUUUUGUUUUCUGUUAUAAUAAAAUAAGGUGUUUUCAGAUAAAAUCUUUUGACUGUUUUAUGUUAUUUUCACUUAUUUUUUAAGGUUUGUCUUAAAAAAUAAUUAUAUCAACAUGUAGAAUGAUUAAAAAUAAAAUACUAGACAUAAAAAUUAUCUUUAAAACAUAUUUAACAACAUUAAAAACAUGUUAAAAAUAUUUUGGGUUUCCAAACAAACUUUUGUUCUACAAAUUAAACAUUAAAGAAAAAUUUUCAAAAACUAUCUUUCAGAAUUAUUUUUAAAAACAAUUAUCAAACAGGCCUUUAAACUCUGUUUUUUUAGGAUUGUUGUAUAGUGCAACUGAUUCGUGCCCACUUGGUGUAUCAGCUGAUUCAUGUCCAACUGGUGCUCCUUGAUUGAGGAAGUAAUCAACAAAAUUUAUAACCUAUUACACCAUGAACUAGGGUAGCAAAGACAAAGCUAUUAUAACAUAGUGGCUUUAGGAUCGUUCACUGGGAUGAGUUUUCACUCCACAAUUGAUAUUAAUUCAAAGAUGAAUUGGUGCUUUUUCAUUUCAAGGUUAGCUUUAAAAGAAAACAUAAAGAUGUUUGAAAAAGGAUUGGUUUUAAGCUAACCAAAAAUAAUAGUAACUGCUUUUAAUUACAAAGAAAAGUGUUUCUUGGAGUUUAGAUCACUAGCCUCAGGUUCCUUACACAAAAAGAGAGUUCCGGUCACUUGUUUCUUUUCCUCGCAUUAGAGAAUUAACAUAUAGUUAAUUCUCUAACGGGUGUGAUAAUGAUGCUUCCCAUUAAUGGGUUCAAACACUAAAUCCCUCUCACUGAUGCAUCUUGUAAUGGCUCGUGCCUCUCACCUAGCAUUUGCCAUUCAAGGUGAUCUUUAACCUUGGAUUACCCGUCAAAAGCUCGCAAGAGAUAACUAAUGGAUGUCUCCUUAGAGUCCAAAAGCUUACCAAGUGUUGGCUAUUCUAGAAAAUCCUACUUUCAAACCACCUCCCAAAGGCUCGCAAGAGAUAAACUAGUGCAUCUCAAUGGAUGGAGAUCACUUGCCUUACCAAGUGUUGGCCCAGGUGAUUUAAAGGAGUUUUAAGUUAUUUAAAAAGAUAAAAACCAUUAACGGGUCACACUUUCUCUUCAUUAAAAACUAAAACAACAAAACUUCCAAUUUAUGCAUGUGGAAACUUACCCGGUUUUCUUCACUCCAAAAGAUGAAGAGUCUAGCCUCUCAUCCUCUGAGGAAAAAUCCUCAGAGUUUGAUUGGCUAGAAAGAAAAAGUAAAUAAUAUACAAUACAAUCAAAACGAUAAGGUAAGGCAGAGCAAAGACUCUGUAUUUUACUUUGUUGCAAAACUGUACAAAGGAUGCGUCUCUGAGAACAAGCUCCCGAGAGAUUACACAUUUAUAAAGAAAAUUACAACUAUAUAUAAGAGGUUAUUCACCCUUUGUUCUUACUUAAAGACUAAGGAAUCCUAUGAUAGGUGGGUUACAAGGAGAGUUUGGGGAUUUAGACAUCAAAAUAUCUAAAGCAAAAUAUCUCAAAAUGUCGAUCGCAAAUAUCGGGAAGCUUCAGGAGAACACCGCGGCAUUGUGCAAAAUGGCUGUGAAACUCUCCGGAUAAGCGCUAUCAGAGGAUCCGGAUAUGUCUGACCGGAGAAGUUGAAACGCCUUCCUCUCCUAUCCGGCGUCAAGCGCCGGAUGCGAAAUAUCUGGAUGGAAUGUCAGCGGAGAAGAAUUCCAGAUGUGAGACAUCCGGGUGGAAUGUCGGUGGAGCAGAAUUCCGGAUGUGAGACAUCCGGGUGGAAUGUCGGUGGAGCAGAAUUCCGGAUGUGAGACAUCCGGGUGGAAUGUCGGCGGAGCAGAAUUCCGGAUGUGAGACAUCCGGGUGGAAUGUGCGAUGCCACACGUCGUAAGGGGGCCGUCUGCGUGUGCAAGGUGUAGGGACCCCUCCCCCUGAUGACACGGAGCGCGCAUCGCUAUCCGGAGCAACUCCAUCCGGAUUCUCUAAGAGGAUAUGUGGCGCGCUCCCCUAUUCGGACUCCCUCAGGGAGAAGCACACGACACUUGCGAUCAUCACACCCCGGACGAUAGCAUAUCCUAUCCGGAUAUGUUGUCCGGAUAUGAAACAUUGACUGAAGUGCACAAGCCUUGCUACAUCAUUCCAACAGCCUGCCACAGCCCACGUUCCGCCGCCCUCCGAUGGUGUGUCCGAACGCCCUGUCCGGACAUCUUUUGCCAUGGAUUCCAAAGAACUCUCCUCAAUCUCGGAUUGCUUUGGUGAUCAAAAAGCUAUCAAAACACCAAAACUUAACACAAUUUGAUUAGAAUUGAUUGCAAGGGUUCUUAAUAUGUUAAUUGGGUUAAAAGGUGAUAACUACUACUCAAAAGUGUUUAAAAGAGUUAAUUACAAGCUAUGAAAUAGCACUUUUUGAGUAGUAAUCACUCCCCCUAACCGACAUAUUGCUAGUCCCUUAGCAAUGAAGGAGAGAAAAAUAAAAAUAAACAGUACUAUAAUUUACAACAUCAUGCUAAUAAAAAAAAACAAUUUUCAAGUGGCAUGAUGAUCUAACUCUCACAUGGAACAUUAAAGAAAUAAAACUCAAACUUCAACAAGAGUUAUCAAAUAACUUGUCUAACCACAAUUCAUAAAGAGAAGGCAUUAUGCAAAUUUAAGCUUUAAAAGAGUUUCCACUCCCAAAGGGCCAAACCUUACUCCACAAAAAUCUAAGUGUUAUUUAUUAGCUUCCGAAUAUAGUAUGUUGAACUAAUCUCUCCCCCCAACCUAGUUCUUUUUUCAAAGCUUAGCAAACUGAUCAACCUCCAAUAGGCUAAGAACACACCUAUUUUUUUUCACAAUUUUUUUUUCAUUAUAGGAGUACAAGGCUUAAAGGUAUUCUUUUCUAAAUUGUCCAUGUAACGGGGGUCCAUCGAUGACUCCCAACCAAUUAAGGUUUAGGGCAUUAAGCUUUAAGGAUCUUUCAACUACUAACUCCUCGGAUUUUACCCCGGACUUUUGAGAGUGAAUUUUAAUACCCAAGCACCUACAAUAUGUUAAACUCCACCUAUUCACCCUUGUAACGAGCAUUGAGGUUGGUGACUCCCAACCAAUGAAGGCUUAGGGCACCAGGUUUUAAAGAUUUUCACCAUAUACCCCUUGAACCUUGCUCGGGUUUCAAGGCAAGUAAAACAUUUUUUUCUUGCUUUCUUUUUUUUCAAAGGCUCAUUGGCCUUUUAUAAGGUGUCCCAACACUAUUAAAUGAGGUCAAAGGUAAAAAGUCUAAAAUUUUCCUAAGUCAAGAGGGAAAUAGUUUUUCAUCUUAUAAUCGGAACCUAUUGUGCACAGUGUGUGAAUAGCUUAAAGUGGAAGAACUAAGGUUGAAUUCAAUAGAAGUUUCAACAAUUCAUCAACUUGAGUAAGCAUAAUACAAACUCUAAGUCAAGUAAAAAGACAAAAAUUCAAUUUCUCUCUAUUUCAUUUUGAGAAUUUUUCCUUAAUAACCAUGGAGAGUAGAAUAAAAACUUAAAUUUUUUUAAAAUUAAGCAAAAAGCAACUAAAUUACCAAAAUAACUUAGCAUUAAUAACAAAACUUCCUUCCUCAACUCUUCCCCUAACCAAGCUGAACAUUGUCCUCAAUGUGACAAAAGCGAUUGAAAAAUAGGGAGGAAGUGGUACCUCUUGAGUGACAUGGAGUCUGAGUCGUAUAGGAGAAACCACAUGUUUCAAAGAAAACAUAAGAGUUAGUGAGUAGAGGAAAUAGAAAAAUGCCAAGUUUAAACAAAAAUGAUGUCUAUAUGUGAUGUAUCAUCAGUAAUACAUCCAAUCCUAGAAUAUAAAACAUCAAAACAUGAAAUUGUCUAUACUAAUAUAAUAUGUAAAGACAAAAAGUAAAGAGAUGAUAAAGUAAUGGUAGGGUCCUGUGGAGCUGAUGCAUCUGUGGUGGUUUUUCAUUUCAAGGUUAGCUUUAAAAGAAAACAUAAUCUUUGGUGGAAAAGGUUGGUUUUAAGCUAACAAAAAAUAAUAACUGAUUUUAAUUACAAAGAAAAAUGUUUCUUGGAGUUUAGAUCACUAGGCUCAGGUUCCUCAUACAAAAAGGAAGUUCCGGUCACUUGUUUCUUUUCCUUGCAUUAGAGAAUUAACAUAUAGUUAAUUCUCUAACCGGUGUGGUACAGAUGCUUCCCCUUAAUGGGUUCAAACACUAAAUCCCUCUCACUGAUGCAUCUUGCAAUGAAUCAUACCUCUCACCUAGCACUUGCCAUUCAAGGUGAUCUUUAACCUUGGAUUACCCGUCAAAAGCUCGCAAGAGAUAACUAAUGGAUGUCUCUUUAGAGUCCAAAAGCUUACCAAGUGUUGGCUUCUUGAGUGGGUUGGAUUAGGACUUUAGCCUCUGUUAUGGUAGUCUCUUUAGAUGGCAUAGUCUCAUCUCCUCUUGAUUUUGAUCAUCCAAAAACCUAUGUUACGUUAAAACAAAUUAAAAUUAAAGUAUUGAAAUCAAAAUUAAGCAUUGAAAUCAAAAUUAAAACAAGUAAUAAGUAAAACAAAAAGAUAUGGACUAGCUAGUCUUUAAAAAGACUAAGUCCAUCAAAAAAAUUUGAUCCUGAUUUAGCUUGAUCGGAUCCCAUAUGAAGUUUGCAUCCCUCACUUGAGAUUUGGUUUGUAUGAUUUUGCCAUACAAAGCUUGGAGGAAAAGUGGAUGCAUGUGUUUCUUCAUCAUUUCUUCCUUGAUGACUAUCCUCUGUGGUUCUUCGUCUACAUUUAGAUCAUAGUCAUCUUUCUCUAUGCUUUUCCCCUUUUUCUUUCCUUUGAUUUCCUCCCUCUUUUCUUUCUCUGUUUCACUCUUUACCUUAUGCUCUAGCUUGGAUGUGGGCAAAUCAACCUCUUUACCACUCCUCAAAGUGAUUAACUUCCUUCUUCUGUGAAGAUUCUCCUUCCUUAGCCUCAAUUUCAUGGAUACUCUUUUCAUUUUGAUGAGGUUGAGAAGGAAAGUUUCCUUUUUCUUGCACUUGGUUGAGGUUGGCAAACCUUAAGAUUGAAUAUUGGAGAUUAUCUAUCUUUUGAGAUAGAUCACUUUGCACUUCAUCCAUCUUUUUGUUCAAUGAACUCUCUACACUGUCAAUUCUUUGACUGAGCUGAGCAUUGAUGGAUUUCUGAGCUCCAACAAAGUCUCCCACGAUUGCUAAGAUUCACCAUAACUAGUUCAAGGUUCGAGGCUUGCGGAAGUGCGUGAACAUGUUGCUUGUACUGAGGUGGCUGUGGUUUCCAAGAGAAAUUUGGAUGGUCCCUCCAAUUGGAAUUGUAGGUGUUGCAAUCACCUAACAUUUCCCUCACCGUUGGAAUGGUAGGACUCUCUUCUACCAAGUGCUCAUAAGAUAGACAAAUGGCACAAGGCAUAGCUUGCAAUGGUGUCUGAGAGAUGGCUUGCACUUCUUGCAUCUUUUUCAUUUCUAACUCUUACAAUCUCCUUGCCAUAGCUGCAAUCUUUGCCUUCAUGUCUAUGCCGUCAUUCAAAAUAUACAUCUCACCCUUAGCAUUAGGUUGAGACGUCAUUCUUCCCAUAUCUCUAGCAUUUGGUUCAUUCCAUCCUCUUGAAACUUCAGCCACAUAACUCAUGAAGUUCAUGGCUUCCUCUGCUAUCUCGUAUUCAAUAUGGCAUGCACAACUAGCAAUUUGUGAAUUAAAAACAGAGAAAACAAAAGAAAAUAAAAAAAAAAAUUCUAAAGAAAAAAAUAAAAUUAUUAAGAUUAACUAAAAACUAAAUAAAAACUAUACUAAAAUAUGAACAAAGAAAGAUAAACAAAUAAAAAGAGUUAGUAAAAGGAAAAGAAAAAGUCACCAAACUUAUGAUGAAGAUCACAAGUACUCUGAAAAGGUCAUAUCAAUGUAAAGUGGCACCAUCCCCUGCAACGAUGCCAUUUGAUUCGUGCCCACUUGGUGUAUCAGCUGAUUCAUGUCCAGCUGGUGCUCAUUGAUUGAGGGAGUAAUCAACAAAAUUUAUAACCUAUUACACCAUGAACUAGGGUAGCAAAGACAAAGCUACUAUAACAUAGUAGCUCUAGGAUUGUUCACUGGGAUGAGUUUUCACUCCACAAUUGAUAUUAAUUCAAAGAUGAAUUGGUGCCUUUCCAUUUCAAGGUUAGCUUUAAAAGAAAACAUAAAGAUGUUUGAAAAAGGAUUGGUUUUAAGCUAACCAAAAAUAAUAGUAACUGAUUUUAAUUACAAAGAAAAGUGUUUCUUGGAGUUUAGAUCACUAGCCUCAGGUUCCUUACACAAAAAGAGAGUUCCGGUCACUUGUUUCUUUUCCUCGCAUUAGAGAAUUAACAUAUAGUUAAUUCUCUAACCGGUGUGGUACAGAUGCUUCCCAUUAAUGGGUUCAAACACUAAAUCCCUCUCACUGAUGCAUCUUGUAAUGGCUCGUGCCUCUCACCUAGCAUUUGCCAUUCAAGGUGAUCUUUAACCUUGGAUUACCCGUCAAAAGCUCGCAAGAGAUAACUAAUGGAUGUCUCCUUAUAGUCCAAAAGCUUACCAAGUGUUGGCUAUUCUAGAAAAUCCUACCUUCAAACCACCUCCCAAAGGCUCGCAAGAGAUAAACUAGUGCAUCUCAAUGGAUGGAGAUCACUUGCCUUACCAAGUGUUGGCCCAGGUGAUUUAAAGGAGUUUUAAGUUAACUAAAAAGAUAAAAACCAUUAACGGGUCACACUUUCUCUUCAUUAAAAACUAAAACAACAAAACUUCCAAUUUAUGCAUGUGGAAACUUACCCGGUUUUCUUCACUCCAACAGAUGAAGAGUCUAGCCUCUCAUCAUCUGAGGAAAAAUCCUCAGAGUUUGAUUGACUAGAAAGAAAAAGUAAAUAAUAUACAAUACAAUCAAAAUGAUAAGGUAAGGCAGAGCAAAGACUCUGUAUUUUACUUUGUUGCAAAACUGUACAAAGGAUGCGUCUCUGAGAACAAGCUCCCGAGAGAUUACACAUUUAUAAAGAAAAUUACAACUAUAUAUAAGAGGUUAUUCACCCUUUGUUCUUACUUAAAGACUAAGGAAUCCUAUGAUAGGUGGGUUACAAGGAGAGUUUGGGGAUUUAGACAUCAAAAUAUCUAAAGCAAAAUAUCUCAAAAUGUCGAUCGCAAAUAUCGGGAAGCUUCAGGAGAACACCGCGGCACUGUGCAAAAUGGCUGUGAAACUCUCCGGAUAAGCGCUAUCAGAGGAUCCGGAUAUGUCUGACCGGAGAAGUUGAAACGCCCUCCUCUCCCAUCCGGCGUCAAGCGCCGGAUGCGAAAUAUCCGGAUGGAAUGUUGGCGGAGAAGAAUUCCGGAUGUGAGACAUCCGGGUGGAAUGUCAGCGGAGCAGAAUUCCGGAUGUGAGACAUCCGGGUGGAAUGUGCGAUGCCACACGUCGCAAGGGGGCCGUCUGCGUGUGCAAGGUGUAGGGACCCCUCCCUUUGAUGACAUGGAGCGCGCAUCGCUAUCCGGAGCAACUCCAUCCAGAUUCUCUAAGAGGAUAUGUGGCGCGCUCCCCUAUCUGGACUCCCUCAGGGAGAAGCACACGGCACUCGCGAUCAUCACACCCCGGACGAUAGCAUAUCCUAUCCGGAUAUGUUGUCCGGAUAUGAAACAUUGACUAAAGUGCACAAGCCUUGCUACGUCAUUCCAAUAGCCUGCCACAGCCCACGUUCCGCCGCCCUCCGAUGGUGUGUCCGGACGCCCUGUCCGGACAUCUUUUGCCAUGGAUUCCAAAGAACUCUCCUCAAUCUUGGAUUGCUUUGGUGAUCAAAAAGCUAUCAAAACACCAAAACUUAACACAAUUUGAUUAGAAUUGAUUGCAAGGGUCCUUAAUAUGUUAAUUGGGUUAAAAGGUGAUAACUACUACUCAAAAGUGUUUAAAAGAGUUAAUUACAAGCUAUGAAAUAACACUUUUUGAGUAGUAAUCAGCAAUAAUUAGAGGAAAUGAGAGAAGUUUUCAAAGAGAAAAAAAAAAGGGUUAUGUAAAAAAGCAAAAAGGAGAGUUUGUUCUCAAAGUUGUAUCUUUUUGGGUUGUCUUUCCUUGUAUAUUGUUGACUUAAAUGUCAAGGUUACUCUCCAUCAUGUUUUGAAGACUUAUAUGGAGAGAUUUCUCCAACUCUUAUAAGCUUGACAACAUGCUUGUUGUGUGUGUGUGUGUGUGUUUUAAAUUUCUUCUUUAAUAUUUGUAAUACCAUAAGUUUCGAGUUAAAACACUAUAUAGAUCAUUGUAUUCCCAUUUUUUAUUAAUAGAAGAAAGUUACUUUGUGAUUUUUUUUUACCUCAUUUAGGAAGGAGUUUUCAAUGAUAUAUUAGGUAUUUUUUUGGUUUUCUAUCAUUGUCAUUGUCUUAUUUGAAUGUUGUAGCAAGUUGGUUGAAGAGUAUUUAUAAUGAACUAGAUUUGGGAUUCCAGGUUAGCUUUGCAAACUAGGUUGGGCAUUUAAUUUAAUCAUGUAUACUAGACCAAAGGUUGUGUGUGUAUCAUAAUAUAUAAUUAGGGAGUCUAGUUAUAUGACUCAAUUCAAUAGGGCGUUGAGCUACAUUAUCUAACUUGAACUAGUGUCAAGUUUGACAAAAAAUAACUUUUUUUUUUUUUUUUUGUUGGUUUUGUUCUGUUAACCUUAUCAUUUUAACUUCUAACUUGAGCUAAAAAUAAUGUUAUUCCAAAUAGUGUCUUAUCUACUAAAGUAACGGAUUGUUUUGGGGUUAAAAGUUUAAUUGUUAAUAAAUUUGAUGAUGUUUUAUUGUACAUAUAUAUUUUUAAACAUCUUUGAAUGCUAUAAGUCAAAAGAAUGAGUGUAUUUUUGUUGAUGAAAUCAAUGUUUUAGUGCAUUAAUGUUUUUAAAUAUUUUUAAUAUAGAUUAUUAUAAUGCUCAUAAAUGACCACAUGAAUGAAGUUUUUACUAACUAGAGGAACAUUUUCAGUUGAUAAGACCAGUUUAUUUAAUAGGUCACAUAGAGGCAUAUGUUCUUACAACAUCAUAAUGAACAAUAGGUAUUAAGGUUAUGUAGUGUUGUAUGGUUGCAAAAAAGUUGGUGAUCAUUUCAUUAACUCAAUCACAACCAAUUGGAUUCAUUAUAAGAAAAAUCGAUCAAUAAUGACACUUUUUACCCGUCAAGAAAGACAAACAAUGUCAAGAAAGACAAACAAUGACACUUCUCCAAAGUGUCAUAUCUUAGCUUGUCAUAAUAAGUUUCUACAAACAGUUACACUUCUUAAAAGCGCCAUGAAAUCGAGUGUCAUUGUAAAGAGUGUUUAGCGAUGUUGACACUUUUAAAAACGUCAUUGUAAAUAUGGAACAAAUAAUGAUGUUUUUUAGAAGCAUUGAGGUGUACCAAUUUGCCAAUGUUAUUGUUGAUUUUGUAAAUAAUGACACUUACAAAAACUGUUAUUGUUGAAGAUGAAAUAACCUUGACGCUUUUUGGAAGUAUCAUUGUUCACCUUUUCCAUUGUUGAUUGCUCUAAACCUUGACACUAGUGGAAGUGCCAAGGAUUGUGACAAUCUAAAAUUAGCUUCACCUAUUGCUCUUUUAUUUUAAUUGGCAUUUGAUAUUGAAAUUACUCAAAUAUAAAGAAAAUAACAAUUAUUUAUCCAUCCAACAACUAUCCAAUAAUUAAAUAAUAUUAAAGUAAUUAUUAUUUAUCUAUCCCAUAAAUGAAGUGCCAAGAGUAAUAAAUUUAUAAUAUAAAAGAGAAAUCACAUUGCAUAUUGUAUAUAUGAGUAACACAAGAAGUCUGGAAAAAAAAAAAAAAACAUAUCCGUAGCUAAAACAAUAACUUCCUUUGACAUUUUUUUUAAAUGUCACCUAAUUGUGCCUUCAUCUUUAAUGGAAGUUGUUCAUUUCUUGAAUUUUCGUCAUAGCUAGAGAUCAUCUUUCUUUGUGCUAAAAUGCAAUGGUGACAUUCCUUCCCUUUUAAAUUUUCUCACUUCCUUAGGCUUAGUGAUUUCCUAAUCAAUUAAUACAACAAUGUUCCAUAUAAGUUCAUGUUAUGAAAAGGUUAUUUGAAAAAAAAAACAUGGAAAUUAAUGAUAUUAUCUUUCAUAAGGUAUAAUAAGUCAUUUUUUUCUUCAAUUUGCUUCAAAUUGAGGUGCUCUUAGAUAAAAUUCAUCUCAACUAUAAGCUAAACUAGCCCAUAACAUAUUAUUAAUUGAUUGAAAACAAAAAAAUAAAAAUAAAAUAAAAUCAAGUGAGAAUUUGAGUUAGAAUCUAAGGUGUGUAGGAGUCAUUGUAAUUCUAAUUUGUGAAAUCAUUUUUAAGAUGUAACAAUAAUUAUAUGAAGUCACUUAGACUUCGAAUUAUCCAAAUUUGUAACAUAGAUAUUAUAUAUAACCAAAAUGUGUAUAGUAUAUUUAAUUAACUAAAUGUAAGAUAUGCUAUUCCAUAUAAGCUAGACCUAAGGCAUAUCUUUGUUCAAUAUUCGAUCUUGUGAAUUAAAUAUACUCCAUAAUAGUCCUUCACCUACAAUAUAUUUUCAGUAACUAUGAAGGAAAAUUGGAAUCGAUUAUUCCCAUGAAAUGGGUAAUCAAGAUCGGUGCAAACAAGUCAACUACAAAUAGCUAGUUAAACAAUUAACUUGGACUUCAACUUUCAAUUUCAACAACAAUAAAAUUAAAUCAAAUACCCAAAGAUCAUAUACAACAAACAAAAUGGUACACCACACUGGUGAACAAUUGCACCAUACUUUCUCCAAAUUUCAAACACAAACCCUAAUAAUAAACUUUAAUGGGUAUAAAUGUGAGAGAAAAAAAAAUCAUCAAUUUGCAAUUAAAAAAAUUCAAUUUUAAUACCAAUAAAAUAAACACAACACACCAAUUUUAUACAAAUGAAAUUCAAUAACAAUGCCUAUGAAUUCCAAACUUGAAUAAUUCUUAUGAUUUUGUGAAAGGUUAUCUCUCAUCUUUGCUAUUUGUGAAGGCAAAGGUGAGGGAUAGUCUUUCCAAUAGUGUAAGCUUGUCUUUGCCUUGAUGAUGAAAUUUCAACCCUAUCAUGAUGAACAUUAGAGAAUUAAAGGGUGGAAAUGUAGAAGAACCUAUUAAGCUUAUCAGACAAAGGCACCAUGAAGCAAUUGAUAUAAUUAGGAAAUGAAAAAUAUAUGCUACCUUUUCAUCGAGAUUGAUCUCAAUGCAGGAGCAGAUUGGCUUGGUGGAACUACGCAAUACACUAUCAACAACCAAAUAGUUAAUACCACCCUCAUUAAAAUUGUUGAUAACCCAACAAAUGUCUAACUCCUUGGUAUGCUAAUCCCUUGUGAUCCUCAUCAUAGUCAUCGAAAUCUACUUCUCAACAUCCAUGAUGGUUAGGAAGAUAGGAUUGGCGUUUGUAGAGGAAUUUUCCCAAUUGACAAUGUCAAUCUUUUUUAUAUAUACCUUCCCUGGUCAAUCUAUUGGUACUUUCCACACUAGCAAGAUUCAUUGCUUAGUAAUUUCUAAUUAACAGAAACAAGUCUAAACUCUCUCUCUAUAUAUAUAUUUAAGUUCCCACAUCUAAGAUGCAUUAAUACAUUUUCAUGAUGUCAUUCUCACUUUAUGGUGCAGUUGUAGAUUUCGUCAAUGCACUAAUAAGGAGUGGAUUUUGGGAGUUGGGGUUGACACUAUGGGAAAGAAGCUUGUGAACUCAAAGAAAGGACCCCAAAGUUUUGAGUAGUCCAAGAUGAGCCUUGACAAACACCUUGAGUAUGGUAGCAUGUUUGUCAAAAAGCAAGAGAAUGUGAAGAGAUAUCAUGCAUGCAUGGUCUGACACACCAAACUAAGCCUUACUAUGAACCAUAAUGACAUUUCUCAAGAACAAAAUCUAAGUAUGUCAUUGGGUUUUGUAGUUUUAGUGCCAACAUCAAACUAAUCAGCUAAUUUAUGACUUUCAAUUCAAGAUGUCACAUCAAUUAUCUCUUAAAUUUCAAGAACAAAAUCUAAGUAUGUAAUAAGGUCUUGUAGUUUUAGGGCCAACAUCAAACUAAUGAGCUAAUUUAUGAUUUUCAAUUUAGAAUGUCACAUCAAUUAUUUCUUAAAUAAAUUUUAUUAUACCCAUUGUUACUCAUAUAUAAUAUAUAUACUAAAAGGGAGACUAUUUUUUUUUUCAUUAAAAAAAAAGUCUAACAAAUAUAAGAAUGGAAUCUUUUAAAUUAUUUUAUUCAAAAAUAAAUUGUAGAAUAAAAAAAAAUUAUUAAGGUCCUAUUUGUUUAGAUGAUUUUCUAUUUCCAUUAUGAAAGAAAACAAAAAUCAAACUAAAAACAAGUUAAAGGUUUUACCUCUAUCUGCAGCCAUAGUGUUGCCCAUAACUUGCUCUUUAUGAUAAAAAAAACAUUGUCCAUAGUUGCUACUUCGAGCUCUUUAGGACAAACAACUAUAUUUUCUAAUCAAUGAAUUGUGAGAAUUUAUACCAUAUGCUAAAAUGGGAAGUCUCAAGUUUCUUGGUUUUGAAACAAAGUUGGGCCAUUUAUGGUCAAUUAGCCAUGAUAGAGAGUCAGCUGGAUGACACAUUUUGUCAUCUAAAUCUCUUCCUUAGAUAUGCCAUAUGAGGUCUUUUACGAUUUUUGAUGAUUGAAACCUUCUUCUAAAUCUUGGAAUUAGAGGAAAAUACCACAUUACUUUCCCAGGAGUUCCUGUCAUUUUUUUAGUUCCUAUAUUAUCUACCUUUCACCUUGAAGUUCCAUAGGUAGGACAUGAAAAUGCAUCUUUCAACUUAUUCUUGUAAAGUAUACAAUCAUGGGGCAUGCGUGUAUUUUUUUUCAUAUUCCAUUCCUAAUGUAUUCAAUGUCAUUUUUGCCUUAUACAUAGACAAGGGUAACUCAUUAUUUAGAGGCAACAUAUAUCUAAGCAUUUUUAAAAGCUCUGAAAAUAUUUUAUCAAACCACUCAUAGUGUGUUUUCAAGUUGUAUAAUUUAACCAAUGCAAACAAUUGUGUGAAUUUUCUACAACUAGGAUAUAAAAGGUUUUUCAACAAUUUGAAGUAAUCUUUCAAGCAAUUUUAAGUCAUUUUGACAUUCAACUUGUACAACUUCAACCAUUUCUACUGUACUAUCUACAUCAUUAAAUUGAACCAUAUUAUAAUGUUCUACCCUUCUAGUUGGUGGUUCACUUGGAGUUGCUUCCCCAUGCCAAUACCAUAUAUGGUAAUUUUGAUUAAUUCUAUAGAAAAACAUAUGCUCUCUAAUCUUUUGAGGAAAUUUUUGAGGAGUAUGAAAUAUCAUAUUACCACUCUACAAGCAUGGACAUUUAAUGGAGUUUUUAUAUGCAAAAUUUUAUAUUGCAAAUGUGAUAAAAAUGUUCUACCCCAUCCUCAUACUCCUUUAAUCCUCUAUCCUUUGAAAUCCACAAACGAUCCAUUUUUUAAGAACAAACUUUCAAUAGUGAUCAAACUUCAAAUUGAAGAAAAUAACAACAUUUUCUAUGCUAUUUGUUUAACAACCUUUUUUUUUUGUUCAAAUAAUAAUCAAGAAAAUGUAGUUCAACAUUUGUUUAAGAUGCCAAAUUUAAAAGAAAAAGAGUAAGUAUUGUUUUAACCAUUUUGAUCUAUGAACAUAGAUCUACACUUUUGAAAUAUCACGCUAAUUAUUAACAUUUUUAAAAAUGCCAAGGAAAAAACAAGGUCAUGGUAUAUCUUAUUUGUAGUAGUAACUAAUAAGUUAUAAAUGUUGUUGACCAUGAAUACUUGCAUUAAAAUGGAUGUAUAACCUCAAUAAAACUAGUGCAUAUUAAUAUUAUUAUAUUGGGUUUGUCCUUGACCUUUGCAUCAAACAUUGUCUAUAUCAAUUUUCUCAAUAAACUCCUUAAGCAACAUAAAGAAAAUCAUUUGAGCAUGUCAAAUUUUGAUGCAUGUUUUAUGCAUUCUAACAUCUCCAACAUCCUAAAUUCGGUGGUAGUUCCUAUCCCAUAUAGAAAUACAUAAUCUCUAUGUGUCAAUGACCAAUGUGGUCAAUUUCAUUUUAAAGAAAUUUUAGUAGAAUUUCCCUAUAGUUCUCUAAGUACGUAAAAUGGACAAGGCAUACUAUGCAACUUUGUCCAAAUAUGCACCCAAAGAAUAAAAGGAAAGACUACCAAAAUUUCUAAAAAUUGAAUUAAGAACAAACAAUUAACUUCAUAGAUAUUAUGUUUUCCUACACUGUCUAAUUAGACAAUUCAAGUAUCAUUUGCAGGAAAAAGUUCUUUAUCACAUGAUAAACAAUUUAAAGUUGUCAACUUGAAACUAGCCUAGAUAAAACCAUUUUCACUUUUUGAUAACUUAAAUCUCUUUAGUAUGUAAUAAGAGAAACUUUUGUCUCACAAUGAUACCAAUGAUGCCAAUGAUACUUGAAUUGUUUCAUGCAUGCAUAGUUUAUUAAAAUUAAAACACAAUUACUUAUUGAAAUAUUAUAACAAAGAAACAUAAAUCUCAUUAUAUCAUGUUUAUCUCAAAUAUAUAAUGUUAGGAUAAAGCCCUUAAAAGCAUGACAUGAUGUAAUAAAUUUGGAAUUCAUUAAUUAUUAAAUGAUGUUCCAGUUUCACUUUUAUCUAUUCUUAUUCCAUAUAUUAUACUUUAUAAGCAUUCUUGCCUGCAUCUUUUGCAGUGUACGUGACUUAGGUGCAUUAGGAGUUGCACAGAAGAUCUAGGUCACGAGUUCCUUGCAAAUAGAUGACUUGUUCACAACUGGUUCAUGGGUCUAGGCAACCCAUUAAAGGUUGUAGUGCACUACCUCCUAAUUGGAGGGAUAACUGGUCGUGGUUAUCAGGAUGGGUUUCCCAUGGUGAGUGCACUAGUGUGUAUGGUUACACAUUGGACAAGACCUAUGGUGAGUCAUGACUUAAGGUUAUUAUUGAGUCAUGACCUCACCAAGCUGUUUCAUUGUGUUGUAUAUCAACCUUGAGAGAAUAUUGAGCUUAUGCUAAAGUUGGCAAUGACUUUGACAUACAGGUGAAAUCGUAAGCUGAUCAUAUAUUCUGUAUGGAUUGGGUCAUUAUUGAUAGAAGCUGGUAGUAAUAGGUAUUUUCAAUAGAGACACCAUGAUAUCUCUUGGGAUUGAGACAGUGUGUCCCCUUGGGUGAUCUUAAGGAGGUGUGUUCAUGGAAACUAUAGUCAUGUAGUUCAUUAAAUGGAACUUGACAUAGGCUCUUUGAGAGCUAAGAUAUGUCAAUUGAACAAAAAAGAGGAGGUAGAGGUAGUCUUGAAAGGCUAAUAGCUUUCACCUUAUUAAAUUAUGAACAUUAGUUCAUAGAGAGACUAAACACAAUGGAUAGCAGGUCACGGGCCUGAUCACUUGGUGUCUCGUUGUUAUUUACAUAGGAUAUUGGAGUUUAGUUGAUUCUCUAUAGUGUGAUGUUGAAUCAACUUUAGAAUUGGAUUUUGAGGGAGUCAAUAUUUCUAUGGGUCCCAAUGGUCUCCGCUUUGAACUCAUAUACCUUGUUGGCAUAGGUUAUGAGGGUUGAAUUGGCUCUAAGUUCACUUUUGUGCAUAAGGGCAUUUUGAUAAUUACGCAAGGUUGUAUAGGGAUAAGUGAACAAGGUCUCUUGAUUGGGCUAAUUGAUUUAUUAGUAGGCCUUAUUGGGUUAAUUAAUCAGUUAGAACUCAUUUUGGGUUAUAUUAAGUGACCCAAGCCUGUAUGGGCUCAAGUCACUUAAGCCCACUUAGGAACCCUAUAAAUACCCUAUAGAGGUUAGGGUUUCCAUAGCUUUUAUCUUACACCAUCCAGAGAGAUAGAGAACUAUAGCCUCCACCCUCAUUUCCUCCCUAUUAGAAGUUUGUCAAGAUCAAGGUUUGAGUCAUCGGGCGGAAGACUUUGGGAACAUUCGAAUUUGAGGUAUAGUUUUCGUUAGCACUUUCUAGAUCCUUAUAAAGUAUAAAAAAGUUAAUUUUUUUGUUGUGCAUAGAAUUUAGAAAAAGCCUAGGAUGGUUAUGCAUAUUCCUAACCUGAUCCGGACUUAGGAAACAGAAAGAUUCAGGUUUUUUAUAUCAUAUAACAUUUAACAUGGAGGCAUAAGAACCUUUUUCACAAGUUAGAGUAAUGUUUUCUAGAAAAUAAAAGAUAUAUUUCUACCACUUACAAUGGAAAGUCACAGGUUUGAAUUAGUGACAUGGAGAGACACUAACAUAAUAUUUUCACUCAAAUAUAUUGCAACAAUUCAUGUAAUUACUAGCAUUUUUCCAAUGCUCAUUUCAUUCAAAUAAUCCAACUCAUCAAUGUCCACCAUAAGUAUGAGAAAUGAGGAGAUACAACCCAAAAAAAAUAUUCUAUACUUCACUAUGUCAUCUUCAAACAUCCUUAAAAUAAUGUCAAUCUCAGAUCCUUAAUUCCUUAUUAUCUAUUCACUAAAUAGAAUCAAAAGCCCAUAAAUCCAAACAAAUGAAAAACACAUGGAGAUUGGUCAAAGCAUGAGUGGUUUAUAAGUCGGAAAAAGUUAAGAAAGUUAAAAAGAUAUUAUCCUAGCAAUAACAAAAUUAGCUCUCACCACAUCAGUAAGCUACUCAUUUAGCAUAAUUUAUUAACAAUAUCUAUGAAAAGAAUAUAUAAGAACAAUUCUACAAUUGGUAACUAUUGAAUAAAACAAUUUAAGAGAGAUGGAUAGAUGAAACACAGUUGAAAUUCAUUUCCUCAUGACUUAUAGGAAAAAAAAAGAAGUGAAAACUCAAAGUUGGUAAUUGAACAUGAGCUAAAGAGAGUUUUGAGACACAACUAGAGAAGAUGAAUAUGAGAUAUUGUGAAAUUCUAGUUUUAGAUCUUACACAGAUGCAAAAAUGUUUAAAUUAAAGAAGACAAGUGAUGUCUUUUGGUUUGUGAGAGGUGCAUGUUCCACUUAUAGUUAUGUCAGAGACUAUAGGGCAAACAAUUAGAUAAAAACUACGAUUAAUCACUAAAAAAAAUUAAAACUACAAAGUGCAUAUGUAAUUGGGGAUGAGAGAAAGUAAAAGUUGACACAAUUGAUAACUAUAACAAUGACCAAGCCAAAUGUUUACAAUAUUGAAAAGAAUAUAUUUAAGGCAUUUGAGAGCACUAGCCAAAACAUGUUUGCCUCAAUCAAGAGGGAUAAGAAUGAAAACAAAAAAUUGACAGAGAAAUUUGAGUAAACAAACAAGUAAAAAUAUGGUGCAUUUGUACACUUUCUAACCACUUUGCCAUGCAUAAUUUGCAUUCUUGGCAUAACACAAUUGAUCAAUUUAAUAAGGAUUGCAAAUAUGUCCCAUCAUAAAAAUUUCAUGCUUCAAAACUUCAUGUUUGGCUAGGGGACUUGGAGCUCGGUUUCUCUAAAAUAAACUAAUCUUAUCCUUUCAAAUUUAGUUUAUGCUUAUGAUUGGAUGGUAAGGUAUCCAAAGUAUAAAAUUUAUGGGCCACUUAAAUUUGAGGUGAUGUGCACAAACCAAAAAUAUGUAAUAAAAAGCUUGUGGAUCAAUAUAAGGGUGCUCACUUGGUGGUCUUACUCCUAAAAGGAUUCAUUGAAGAGGUAAAAAGAGGAGUAUGAUUUGUACUAACAUAUAAGAAGAUACAGUGCAACAUAGAAAUCAAAAGAGCUUUGUUGAACUAUAAUUUUUGAAAUACUAAGCAGAAGAAAAUUUAAUAGGAAAGUUGGAAACAAAUUAUUUUAAUAGUUAAUACGUAAAGGAUUCUUUAAUUAACUAUAACCAUAUGAAGUUAUUGAAUAGACACAUCUAGUUGCAAACAAAAAAAGAAAAAAAAAAUAGAAAAAGAAGCUAACAAUUAUUUAACAAACUAACAAUUCUUUACUUAACUUGUAACCAUACUGCAAGAUACCCAAAUAUUCUAAUACUCACCCUGAAAAUGGAGAAUGAAUGUUGUGAAUUCCCAUUUUACUAAGAAGAAAAAGAAAUUGAGGUGAAGAAAAAGGUUUGGUCAACAAGUCCCCCACUUGAUGUUUAGAUGAAAUAUGUAGUGUCUUCAAGCUUCCAUUUUGCAAUUUCUUUCUAACCAAGUGAUAAUCGAUCUCAAUGUGCUUAGUGUGAUUGUGAAAAAUUGGAUUAGCUACAAUAUAAAGAGUUGCUUGAUUGUUGCAAAAUAGCAAGGCAGGCUUAGGACGAGAUACAUGCAAAUCUCUAAAUAAAGAAAGUAACCACAUCAAUUCACAUGUUGCAUUUGCCAUAAAUCUGUCCUCAACUUCAACAAAAGAUCUUGAAACUGUAUGCUGCCUUUUUAUUUCUGGGAAAUUAAGGAAUCACUAAUAAAUAAAUAAAAAAAAUGCAAAACCCACUAAUAGACCACAAAAGUUGCCCAAUUUAAAUCAACAAACCCUUUCAACUUUAUUAAUGAAAAAAAAAAAAAAAACCUUGUCCUACAUAACUUUCAAGCAUGGUUUGAAAUGUUGCAAAAUUUUGGUGAAAUAUUGUCGAUAUUUUGCUUAACAGGGAGAGCUAACACGAUAUUCCACAUUGAAAGUCGAUUGUUGAAAUAUUGGGGAGAGUCAACACGAUAUUCCACACUGAAAUGUUGCAAAAUUUUGGUGAAAUAUUGUCGAUAUUUUGCUUAUCAGGGGGAGCUAACAUGACAUUCCACACUAAAAGUCGAUCGUCAAAGUAUCGGGGAAAGUUGACAUGAUAUUGGACACCGAAAGUCAAUCGACUUUAUCGAAAAGAUGUUGAUAUUUGAGUAAAUUCCUUCAAAUUUUUUUCUAUUGCAGCCAAGGGGAUUCAAACCCAGGCCAAAAGGCUUGGGUGAAACUUGGCUACUAUUGGGCCAAGUCCACAUUUGUAAAUAUAUGUUCACAAUAAAUAUGUUAAAAUUCAUCAUUAAAAGAAUAAAUAAAUAAAUUCUAAUUAUUUUAUUUAAAAUUUUAUUUAAUUAAUUAAUAAAAGUAUAAAACCAUCAUUAUAAUUUUCUUAACAAGUUUUUAUUUUUAUUUUUAUUUUUUAUAUCAUUUAUAUGACAAUUAUAUAUAUAAAAAAUAUAAAUAUCAAAAAAAUUAUAUAUGCAUCAUAAUUUAUUUUACAUUGUUGAAUGUAUUUGAAUUAAAUAAAUUAUAGUUUUAAUAUUAAAUGUAUCAUCAUUUAUAUCAUUAAUCUUAUUUUUAAAAAUUACUAUCACUUCACUUUUAUUUUUUUUAUGUUUAUCCUUUUAAUUUUAUUUAAUUUUAAAUGUUUUUAUUUUAAAAAUAUAAAUUUAUUCAAAAAAUUACUAAAAUUAAAAAAAAAAAUUGAAGUUCUAAUAUUUUAAUGAAUUUGAUAAGAUAAAUAAUAAAUUAUUAAGACUGAUAUAUCCCUCGAUAUUUUUCUCAUUGACCAUACUUAUGUCAAUUCCACUUACAAUAACUUUAACAUAUGUAUUCUUGCUUAUUUUAUCAUUUUUUUUAGUGUUUUCCAAACAUUUCCAUGAAUUUUGAAUAAUUUUUGUUUCACCAAUAUUUUUGUCAAAAAUCCACCGAUAUUUUACCAAUAUUUCCAAUAUAUCCAUAAAAUUCAAAUAUCGAUAUAUCCGUGUUUACCAAUAUUUCAAACCAUGCUUUCAAGUACUAAAGCACAUGUUGUAUUGCCCACAUAUGAGGAACUCUGGGCUUUGCAAGAAAUUGAUUGAAUUUAUGUAUUGAAAAUGAUAAAUCUGGGUUUGCUAUGAUUAGAUAAAGCAAUUUGCCUAUCAUUCUUCUAUAAAAUAAAAAAUCUCCUAUCAUAUCACCUUUGUCUUGUGUGAGCUUCACAUUUGGAUUUAUAAGUGUUUUCCUUGUUUUACAACCAACAUAGCCUACAUCUGAUAGUAAUUGUAAGGCAUAAUGGUUCUAACUAAGGGAAAUUCCCUUAUUAGACCUCACCACCUCAAGGCCCUAGAAGUAUUUAAGCUUUCCUAAGUCUUUGAGCUUAAAACGACUAUUAAGUAGAACUUUUAAUUUCUCAACUUGCUCAUCACUAUUACUAACAAUGACAAUGUCAUCCACAUAAACUAAUAGAGCAAUGAAGUGAGUACUGACAACUUUGACAAAAAAAGAGUGAUUUGCAUUAGAAUGUUUAAAAACCUUCAACAAGUAAGAAAUUGGAGACUUUGGAAAACCAUUGUCGUGAUGCUUGUUUCAAGCCAUAUAAGGACUUCUGAAUUUUGUAAACAGAGUGUGAGGAUAAUGAUUUUCCUUAACGAUGAUAACUAGGAGGCAUAGUCAUAUAAACUUCCUUAAAAAGAUCACCAUGUAAGAACACAUUAUUGACAUCCAACUAAGGAAGGCUCCAACCAUUAAUGGUAGCCAAAGCAAGCAAAACCUUAACAGUAACCAAUUUGACAACAUGAGAGAAGGUACCUAGAUAGUCUAUGCCCUCUUGUUGUGUGCAACCUUUAGCUACAAGGCGAGCUUUGUAUUCUUCAAUAGUUCCAUCAACUCUAUACUUAUUUUUGUACACCCAUUUGCACCUAAUAGCCUGUUUUCCUUGUGGCAAAGUAGUUAAAGACCAAGUGUCAUUUUGUUCAAGAGCCCCUAACUCAGCAAACAUCGCAUCUUGCCAAUCUAGAAUAGUAGCAGCCUUGAAGUAUGUGGUGGGUUCAAAAUUAGAGGAAAUAACACAAACUAUUUUUUAAUUUAUUUUAUUUAUUUAUUUUAUGAAUUUGACCAUUUUGUGUAAUCAAGGACAUGUGUGAGAGGAUGUGAGGUAGAAGAUGUGCUGUGGGAACAACAAUAGUAGUAGUAAUAUACUAGAUAAGAAGGAGGCCUACGGACACGAUUAUGAUGAGAAUGAGAACUUGUUUGACUUGGUAUGGUAGCUAUGAAUUCUUGGUCAUGCAUUUCGGGUUGAUUAAUGCCCUUGCCACUUUCUACAACCUCAUAAACAACAUCUUAUUUGACUUCCUAGACUCGUUUGUGGUGUAUUAUUUGGACGAUAUAGUGAUCUACAACUACACUCUACAAGAUCACUUGGUCCACCUUAGGAAGGUAUUGCAAAGACUAAGGUGGAACCAGUUGUAUGUAAAAGGGCCUUGACAUUUGGUUAGUGUGCUAAGUCAACAAUACAACAUGACCAAAGAAAACCUUAAGACGUUAAAUAAUUAAAAAAUCUACAAAGAAAGAUGUAUAAAAUAGGUUAACAUGAAAACAAGAAGAGAUUAUAUUUGAGUAGAAGUUAAUGUCAAGACAUAUAUGUGCAAAUAGUAGGGUACCAAAACACUUGGAGCAAAAGGUUGUAAGGAAGAGAAAUCUCCAUGACUUGCUCAUUUAUCAUUUUCUUUCUUUGGAAGUUAGAGUGGUUGCGAUUAGAACUAGAGGACGCUAACCUAAUAAAUGGUAAAACUAAGAGUCAUAUAGGAUUUAGGAGGGGUGUUGCGAAUUUGACGAGGGUGAUAAUGAGGGAUUGUAUGGGAUAUUCAAUGGAGGGAAAGGUGCAUGGUGACAUUAAUGUGGUGUAACUUUGAAAUAGUAUUGCUUUUUUAUGAGGGUGUUGGUGGGUUUUUUUAUGUUAGCCAUAGGCAUGGAUGAAUUAAUGAGGCGGUGGUGUUGUAUAAGGUGAGGAAGGUUGACAUUUUGUAGAGGUGUGAGUGUAGGUUUUUAGAGGCAGAGAUGAUGGGAAUGGUGGUACAACAGUGGUGAAAGUUAUGGAAUUAGAGAUGGGUUAUGAGUUGCGUGAUAUGAGAGGUUGAUGACAUUGGUUUGAAAAUGUGUAGGGUUGAGGGAUUGAGAGUCAAGAGGAUGGUGCCAAUGAUGGGUUUUCAUGGUGUUAGUCCUAUGGUUUUUUUGUGGAGAAUGGUGUGUGCAAUGAUGAGCCCCAUGCCAUGUUCUCAUAUGGGUUUCCCAAUUAAAAAAAAAAAUAGUGGUUUUUGCCUUAUGAAUAUUAUUAUAAUAUGCUUUUGUAUUUGAGUACAUAAAAUAUAUUAAUUCAUAUAACAAUUCAAUGUCUUUUGUUCCAUUUCUAUCCCUUAUCCAAUCAUCAUUUUUUAUUUUUUAUUUUUACAGCAAGCAUGUACCAUUUGCAAUACAUCUUCAUUUAAUGCUCACUUAUUAUUAUUCUUCUGCCACAUGAUUUAUUUUAUAUUAUUAUUUAAAAAUAUAAAUUUAAUUUAAUAAAAAUAUAAUUAAUAUAAAAGUAUAGUAGAGAGAAUGUUGAGAUAGUGCUGAAGUGUAAUACCUUAAUUGACAUAAGUAAAUAUGUAAAGUGAGCCUAUGCUAUAUGUAUUAGAACAAAAUUAGGGGUUUACAACUGUCUAGACCAAAUUUUGAAAUGAUAUGUUUUUGAGAGUAAGUCUCAAGAGGGGCAUAAAACGUAUUAUCUUGAUACAUGUUGAGAAAUUUUGCUUUCAUGCAUAAAAAUAACUACAAAAGUCUUGUAGAGUGAUUGUAUUAACACACAUUAUUCAUGACAAAGCAUGUGGAUGGCAUUUUACCUUAAGAAAAAUAAUUGCAAAGUCUCAUAGAAUAGGUUAUGAAAAAUGUGGACAUCUUGGUAAAGUCGGUUAGGAGCAUAUAAUGCCUCUAAACAUUAUCAUUGUGGUUGAAACAUGGGGUGUGUUUUUUCUCAUUUUGUUUAGUUCAUUAGUUAAUUUGGAUGCGCUAACAAGUUCUUUUGCAAAGUUUUGGAUGCCUAGAAAUUUUUAGGUACUCAAUUUAACUUAAGGAUAAAAAAGAAGAGUUGCAAAAGGAAAUAGAUUGGAAGGUAGAAAGUGGAUGAACAAAUGCCAAUAGGUGAAGCUUAGAUGAAAUGAUAAAAAGAUGGUAGAUAUUGUUCCUAAUUCAAAAUUUGACUAUCACUUGUGUUUUGAGUCCAAUUUCCUUGAAAAGUAUAUUUACUUAUGCAAUAGACACUAUACUUGAGAAUUGUUGAAAAUUAAUUUUGAAUCCUAUGUAAUGUCUAUUUAGUAAGUAAGUUGCAUGCUCAAGGUUUGUUUAUGGAGAGAAGGGAGAAAUUUAAGGCUUUAGCAAGAAAAGAUAGGUGAAUUCUUUUGAAAAAUGCCUAUAUCAAAGUUAAAUGUUGAUAUGAGCAUAUAUCAAAGUGAAAAAUUCUUUUGAAAUGUUGCAUUACAUCAAGAUUUUAAUGUUCCCCAAUAUAACAUGAUUUUGGUUCUAUUAGACACAUUGAAGGUUUUUUCAAAUUCACAAUUAUUUUUGGAUUGACCUAAAGACUGAUUGCUCGAGGUAUUGAAUUGGUGGUGGAUGGUUGCAAUUGUGUUGGGUGAGAAGGACAAAUUGGAUUUUAUAUGAACUUGUUCCUUUUCAUUUUGAGGUACUUGGUAGAAAUGAACAUGAACACAAUUAUUGACAAAUAACUGCUUAGUUAAAAUCAAGUAUCCGGGCUCAUCCAAUGCUUUAGGGUUGUUUGAUUUUUUCUAUUUUAAUUUUUAUUUAGUUUUUUUACUCAAACCUUAAAGUAAGUUGCUUCAAGACUAAAUACAUUUUAGAAUAUAUAUAUAUUUAAAAAAAAAAGUAAUAAGAUGAAAAAUAAAUAGUUCUAAAAUGUAUUCAGUCUUGAAGCAACUUACUUUAAGGUUUGAGUAAACAAACUAAAUAAAAAAUAAAAAUAGAAAAAAUCAAACAACCCUAAAGCAUUGGAUGAGCCAAUGACCGGAUACUUGAUUUUAACUAGGCAGUUAUUUGUCAAUAAUUGUGUUCAUGUGAAUACAUUUUAGAACUAUUUAUUUUUCAUCUUAUUACUCUUUUUUUUAAAAAUAUGUAUUUAUAUAUAUAUAUAUAUAUAUAUAUAUAUAUAUAUAAGGAAAAAGUGAAUAAUCUUAACUUUUAUAUUAAUAGAAAAAGUCAUUUUUUUUCUUUUUAUAUUUUUUUUUAUCUCUAACUUUGUUAUGAUAUUUAGACCUAAUUUCUCGUAUAAAAUAUAAUCAAUUUCAUUUUUUUUUAUGACUUUAGGUAACUUUUAUCUUAAAAACAAAUUAAACUAUUUCAAUUUUGUGUAAUUUGAAAGAAAAAUGAAUAUGUUAUAAAUUAACAAAGUUGUCAUCAAGAAAAAAAAUGAAAUGUUUGAAAUAUGCUUUGUUUUUGUCCAUUUUCCCUCUUGUUUCUUGAUAAAAUUUAGAUAUAAAUUUUUUUGAUUUUUUUUAUAUUAUUAAAAGAAGCCCAACAACAUAAAAGUAACUUAAUUUGGGCAACAAAUUAAUCUAAAUAAAUUCAUAAAUUCCAAAACUUGAAUCAAAAUUCUACCACAUUUAGCUAUUGUUUCUGUUUCAUAAUUCAUCAAAUACUCAACAAAAUUAAAUUUCAUAAAUUUUUGUAGAUUUCUCAUUUAAUAAUAAAAUUAACAAUACUUAAAUCAUAAACAUUUUUAUUAGAAAUGUAUGUACUACAAAUUUUUAUAAUUCAACCUCUUAUGGUAGAACAAGACUAAAAUAAACUAUCAUCGAUUCUAAUGAAUUUUUUUUAGUUAGAACUCCAAAACACAAUUCACACUCAUCUAAAAAUCUAUUAGAAUAAGCAAUAAUAAUUAAUUUCAAAAAAUAAAUUGUUAGGAUUUAAUGUUGAAAAUUUAAAAUAAAAAAAUUAAUGAAUUAAUCUCAAUAAAAAACACAUUUUUCAAUUACAAAUCCGUAAAUCCGAAGAUACGCCAUAUAGAAAUAACUAUUAACUUAGAAUUUUUUUUUAACAUUUUCUUAGUAAUCAAGCAUAAUUAGAAACUCUCAUUAUUAUAUAAUUAUUCUUAACUAAUUACAAUAUUAGUUAUUGUAAAAUUUUUAUUAUGGUAAUAAAUUUUGAUAUUUUGGGAAAUAUUUAAAUUUAAAUCUGAAGACACACCAUAUAGAAAUAAGCGUCAAAUUAGAUUUUUUUUAAAUAUUUUUUUAGUAACCAAGCAUAAUAGGAAAUCCUUGUUAUUAUCCAAUUAUGCUUAAAUAAUUACAAUAUUAAUUAUUAUAAAAUGUUUAUUACCAUAAUAAUUUUGAUAUUUUGGAAAUAUUUAAAUUACUAUAUAUUUUAAAAUUUUAAAAUUUUUAAAACUAAAAUAAUAACAAAUACUAUAAUUAAUUUUGUAGACAUUUUUAACAAGUGAAAUAAAUAAAUUUAAUACUUAUAGUAUUUUGACAUAAGUAAAAAUAAACAAUUUAACACUUAACAUAUUUCAAAUACAAUAAAGCACAAAGAGUCUAAACACUUUGGACAUUUUGCUCUAUUUAAUUUCAAUCCAAAUUCAAAUCUAUUUAGAUUUUAGAAAAACAAACAAACAAGUAAAACAUCACCUUAGGUGGUGUGUGUGUCUAUAUAUAUAUAUACACCUUAAUUUAACUCAAAACUAAAUACUAUUUAAUAGUGUUAAGUAUUAUUUUUUUAUAUUAUUUUUUUCUAUAAGAUUUGUCAUUUUUAAAAUGGUUGUUUUUUAACAUACCAUAUUUUCUAAGAUAAUUUUGUGUCAAUAGAAAAAGUAAAUUUCUUUUUUACUUCUAUCUUAAAUCUUAAAACAACUUGCUUCUAAACUCAAGUUAAAAAACAAAUAGCCCAUUAAUUUACUACAAGUUAUGAGUCACUAUGAAAAGAUUGAUGAGAAAUGUUUCAUACUCGAUCUUGUUGGAAUUGUAUCCUUCUCUAAUUGAUUUCUCAAGUCUAGUGGCUUCUCCUUAUGGAAUAAGAGAAAGUGAUAGGUACAAUAUAGAAACAGAAAGGUGGGUGGACAAGAUGAAUGUAUAGAAAGAAUAAUUUUGAGUUACAUAUGAUAAACUAUUUGUUAUCAUAAGAUGGACCAGAAUUUCAUAUUGACCAACAUUCAUACCUCUAUGGGUGAAAAUUUGAACCUUGACUCAAACCUAUCAUUAGCACAAAGUGGAAACUAUUUCUCAUUGAUUCACAUCCCUCUUAACUAUUUAUAUAUAUACACCAAGAUUAGUCUUUAGUUAUCAAGAUAACUUAUCAUAGUAAACUUUUUGUUGAGCUAAGAAAGUGAGGCCUUGCCUUGAAGGAUAUAUACUCGUUGAAGAUGAUAGUAAAUGGUGUUGCCAAAACUACUUGAAGUAACUAGGCUAUCUAGCUAGGAGGUAAACUAAAACAAGACAUCUUCGAUUAUUUUAUAUACUAUUUAACGAUUUAUAUGAAAAUCUAUUCAUUGCUAUUGAGAUGUCCUCUAAGUUGGGAAGUAUAUCCCCAAGCUCCCACACUUUCUUUUUCAUGGAAGCUGUUAAACACUAUAUUAAUGAUUCUACAAAAACAUGAUAUGUUUCACCUACAUGGAGGAGAAUACCAAAACUUAAUGCAAUAACAAGCAAUUCACAAACAAGGGUUGUUAAAAUUACUUAGUGCAUAGGUCUCAUUGACAACUGUGAUGUUCCAUGAAGGGAAAUUGCAAACGAACCACUUGAACUCUUUCUAUAUCCACCUAUUUAUUUUUAUUUUUUAAAAUCCAAAAAUGGAUAUGAAAAUGAAAAUGUUUUUAUCUUUUUCAUAUCCACAUAAACCCUAGCUUUAAUCCUUCCUUUUCACUACAACUCAUCAUAGACCUAUCGCUUUCUCCCUCUCAAAUUAGUAUUUUUUGAACUAUAUUAAUCUAUAAGUAGGUUUAUAACAUCAUUUCCAACAUACUACUUGGAGUAGGUAGUUAUUUUAUUGACAACAUCAUAUUAACCACUACCAUUAUCCUAACAACUUGUGAAAGAUAAAUCACUAAAGUCACAUUGGUGGAAACCAAAUCAAUCAAGUGCAUAAAAAAAAAUGAUAAUCAUCACUUUGUCACGAGAAAAUACAAUAUAUCCAAUGGCAUCAAAUGAAAGAUAACUUAUUGUUUUAUUAAUUUUGAAGAUUGUGAAAGCAUAGAAAUUUAGAUGAAAGAUAAUGUUACCUUUUCUUAUAACUCAUUUGAUAUAGAGACCAUUAUUUCAAUAUCCUAAUUUGUUGGCCAAUUUAAAAUAUUUGAAUUAAUAUUUUUCUUAAUUAGGAAAUACUUAUUCAUGUUUGCUUAUACUAACGGAUGAUGUAACUUUUGCUAAAAUGGUUUUGAAUAUGCAAAUGUUGAUUAGAUGAUGGAGUACCUUUGUGUUUAAUUAAAAUAUUUUUAGAGAACUUAGAACAUUAUUUUUGUUGUGAGCUUGACAUCUCUUAAGGCCAAUGGCUAUUUGGAGUCAUCGUUGAUUUGUAGUGAUAAUAUACAAACAAAAUUACAUGGAAAUUGUCUGUAUUUAAAAUAAAAUAUUAAUUUCCAUGAUAUUUCAAUUUUUUAUUUUAAACAUUGUCCUCUCUUAGAAUUUAUUAAAACAUGCAUCUUCACUUUUAAAAUUAAAUAAUAAGAAACACCUAUUUUAAUAGUAAAAUAAAUUCAUAAGGCAAACAAGUGAACAUGAAAAUUCUAUUUUUAUCUAAGUUUAUUUAAUUAUCUAUUUUUGUAAAUAUGGAAAAGAAAAAUCUAAAAAAAUAAAAAACAAAUUUUACAUUAACCAACUUUAAAACUUUAAAAAAUCAAAAUUUUCCCUAAAUGAAACUAAGAAAAAAUAAUCUUUUAUACUAAUAUAAAAAGAAUAUUCAUUUCAUAAAAAACUAAAGUAUCACUUAAGGAUUUGUCUUGGGUUAAUUGUUAUACCUCAUUUUUUCAUUUGAUCAUAAAAUAGUUGUCUCUAUUAUCAAAGUAUACCUUAGAAUAAAAUAGUUGUAUUGGGAAAUCUGACACAUCAUUCAUCAAUCUAUAAACCUGCACAAUUUCCCUUUUGGUAUAUAUCAUUUUCCUGGUGCUAUGUUUAAUAUUUCUUUCUUCUUGGAUUUUUCUUCUGUACUCAAAAGAAAAAAAAGGCAUGAAUUUUUACGUAUUUUCCUACCUCCCAUGAAAGAAAGCGUACAAGGAUUAUUAACCUGGUGAAGAACUCCGAGGAGUGUAAGGUCAUCUCCAGGCUUAAGUGUUAAGUCAUGGAGAAUCCCAAGGAUUGCUCUUGAACUAACAUCUCUGGAUGCAUCCUGGACCACCACCACUUGCUGGGCAUCUCUCGACAUGAUUUAUCUGGUUGAAACUUUGUGACUAGGACUGAAAGUAAGCACAAUUAUAGAUUUCUAUACAAUCAGUUUUCUCGGUUUCUUCCUUUGAUAAUGCCUUUAAUAUUCUUAAAAAUAUGUAUAAAUGUAGCUAUAUUUUGAGAAAAAACACAGGAAAAACACGCCAUGGAGGUUCUGGUUAUGGUCUGGUUAUAACGAAUUCAUUGAGUAUGAUUUUCUGAUACCAUGAAAGGAGAACUCCACUCAGAAGGACGUACGUAAUGGAUGAAAAAAAAGUCAGAAAAUGAUGGAAAAAAAUCAUAAGAACUCGCAACUAUCAGGAACUCUUCAUUGUAUUAGAUUCUACUUCUAACAACAUUGGGGUGGAAAGGGUGGUGGUGAAUCUAGGCAUCUUUAGUGUUAGUUCAAGAGCAUAUUCUGAGAUGCGAGCCUCGGGUCUCUCAAGUUUUUUAUGCUGUUGGGGAGGAUCUCUUAUUGUUUAUGAUUGG